UGGGGAAUCUUGCGCAAUGGGCGAAAGCCUGACGCAGCAACGCCGCGUGGAGGAUGAAGGCCCUUGGGUUGUAAACUCCUGUCGGCUGGGAAGAAAUCGUUCGCGGCCAAUACCCGCGGACGUUGACUGUACCAGCAAAGGAAGCCCCGGCUAACUCUGUGCCAGCAGCCGCGGUAAUACAGAGGGGGCUAGCGUUAUUCGGAAUUAUUGGGCGUAAAGGGCGCGUAGGCGGCCAUGCGUGUCUUCCGUGAAAUCCCUCGGCUCAACCGAGGACGUGCGGAAGAAACUGCAAGGCUUGAGUCCAGAAGAGGGGGGCGGAAUUCCCAGUGUAGCGGUGAAAUGCGUAGAUAUUGGGAGGAACACCGGUGGCGAAGGCGGUCCCCUGGGCUGGUACUGACGCUGAGGCGCGAAAGCGUGGGUAGCAAACGGG
Molecule: ribosomal RNA, 430 nt
Filed under: uncultured bacterium
Lineage: Bacteria
Description: bacterial SSU rRNA
Rfam family: Bacterial small subunit ribosomal RNA
Source: RNAcentral